GCGAGCGACUGUGAACUAUCAAUGGUUUGGCCUGGCAAACUCUGUACAUUAUUUCUCCUUUCGCUUCUCAUCGUGGUCGCGUUAGAAUCAGUUUCCUGCGAUGAAUCGGCAGAAUCUGGCAAUCCCGUGGACGGGGAGGAACUGGAAAAACGCAAUUGGGGCUGGAAAAUCCUUCUCGGAGCUAUGAAAGGUGCUGUGAAAGGUGCUGUGAAAGCUAUGAGAUGGCGAGGAAUCGGAAGAGUCCCGAUAGAAAAACAAAAUUAUAAAUUUUGAACAACAUUAUUAAUACUGAUAAUGAAGAAAAAAGUGUUAAUCCGAUGAA
Long non-coding RNA from Cloeon dipterum, 322 nucleotides. RefSeq lists it as uncharacterized. Lineage: Eukaryota; Metazoa; Arthropoda; Insecta; Ephemeroptera; Baetidae. The transcript has 3 exons. The record is from RefSeq and is a predicted model, not a curated record.